Molecule: ribosomal RNA, 428 nt
Filed under: uncultured bacterium
Lineage: Bacteria
Description: bacterial SSU rRNA
Rfam family: Bacterial small subunit ribosomal RNA
Source: RNAcentral
CGGGAGUUAGUAAAGCGGCGAACGGGUGAGCAACGCGUGAGAAUCUACCCUUUAGUGAGGAAUACCUCCGAGAAAUCGGGGUUAAUACUGCAUACGUCCCUUCGGGGAGAAAGAUGGCCUCUUUGCCAUCGCUGAAGGAUGAGCUUGCGUACUAUUAGCUAGUUGGUGAGGUAAAGGCUCACCAAGGCAAUGAUGGUUAACCGGCCUGAGAGGGUGUACAGUCACUCUGGAACUUAGACACGGUCCAGACUCCUACGGGAGGCAGCAGUGAGGAAUCUUGCGCAAUGGGCGAAAGCCUGACGCAGCGACGCCGCGUGGAGGAUGACGGUUUUCGGAUUGUAAACUCCUGUUAAGCGGGGAGAAAGGCCUGUUUCUAAUACAGACAGGUUAUGACGGUACCGCUAGAGAAAGCACCGGCUAACUUCGUG